UACGGAGGGGGCAAGCGUUAUCCGGAUUCACUGGGUUUAAAGGGUGCGUAGGCGGGUAAGUAAGUCCGUGGUGAAAUCUCUGAGCUUAACUCAGAAACUGCCGUGGAUACUAUUUGCCUUGAAUAUUGUGGAGGUGAGCGGAAUAUGUCAUGUAGCGGUGAAAUGCUUAGAUAUGACAUAGAACACCAAUUGCGAAGGCAGCUCACUACACAAUCAUUGACGCUGAGGCACGAAAGCGUGGGGAUCAAACAGG
RNAcentral lists this ribosomal RNA (253 nucleotides) under uncultured bacterium. RNAcentral's name for it is "partial 16S ribosomal RNA". It matches the Rfam family "Bacterial small subunit ribosomal RNA", at positions 524 to 776 of the family's 1533-position model. The record is from RNAcentral.